RNAcentral lists this ribosomal RNA (253 nucleotides) under uncultured bacterium. RNAcentral's name for it is "partial 16S ribosomal RNA". It matches the Rfam family "Bacterial small subunit ribosomal RNA", at positions 524 to 776 of the family's 1533-position model. The record is from RNAcentral.
UACGUAGGGUGCAAGCGUUGUCCGGAAUUAUUGGGCGUAAAGAGCUCGUAGGCGGUUUGUCGCGUCUGCUGUGAAAGCCCGGGGCUCAACCCCGGAACGGCAUCCGAGACGGCCAGGCUGGAGACCGGGAGAGGAGAGUGGAAUAGCCAGUGUAGAGGUGAAAUUCGUAGAUAUCGAGAAGAACACCGGUGGCGAAGGCGGCCAUCUGGACGGUGACUGACGCUGAGACGCGAAAGCGUGGGGAGCAAACAGG